RNAcentral lists this long non-coding RNA (1301 nucleotides) under Fukomys damarensis (Damara mole-rat). RNAcentral describes it as "lncRNA (ENSFDAG00000025378.1)". Lineage: Eukaryota; Metazoa; Chordata; Mammalia; Rodentia; Bathyergidae. The record is from RNAcentral.
CUCGGCCCGAAGACAGUCCAGCCGGCGCCGCUUCCCAGGUUCCCCCAAAAGCAUCUUGGCAUAAGUUGGGGAUAAAAAUAGCCGGGGAUAACGCCAAGGGAAGGGGAGGAGCGAGUCUCGGGAAAGGCGAGGCGAGGAUACGACCAGCUUCUGCCCCUCGGGGGUGGAGAGGGUGGGUGCCACUCCCGGCCCGAGGCACUCGGGGGUGCGAGGCGUCAGGCGCCCUCCGCGGAGGUGCUGGGCUGAGAGCCCGCGUCCCGGCUUUGGCUUCAGCUUCUCCAUCGCCUCGCCCCGCUGCGCUCCAGGUUCAGCUUUUGGAGCCGGCUCUCCGGCUCCCGGACAGGACAGGCUGGGACCAGAAGGGCAGCAGCGCGGAGUCCGCCAGGCUGAGAGUGCGAAGCCGCACAGGUUCUAGAAGCCUCGAAAGCUCCUAUGGGCUCCAGGCACUGAGCCUAUGACUUUUGAUGGCCCUGUUAGAUGACACCACAGAGCAUGAGUGCUGAGCUGAUUCAGGUAAAGGGAGUCUGUUAAAUACUAUUUCCUAUAAAUAGCUCCUAGUUCAUCCAUUGUGCUGGAUAAACAACUUUAGACAACAUAUUGCUUUUAUUUAUGAUCUUCUGUCAAACUUUGCCCCAAAUUACACACAUUAGUGCUACCAGAAUUGCAAUAUUGCAGGCUUGAAGUGGUCCUCUGUUCAAAUUAUUAUAUCCUGCUGAGUGCUGGAAUGCCUUCAGGGCAACGGAAAAUUGUGGCACUCUGUUUGAUUUCAGGUUUGCUGGGAACAAAGCCGGCUGAUGCUCUGAUGAGUGGGUCUCUAUGAUUUUCACCUUUAUACCUUGUUCAAAGAUACUGCUAAGUUCACUGUGAUCAGGAAAAAAAACAAAAACAAAAACAAAAAAGUAACCUUUUCUCGCUCCCUCAGUUCAGUUGAGCCAGCCAGCACUUACUAGGUAUUUGUAGCAGAGGGUGGAUGUUUACAGGAAUGCAUGGAAUCCAGCAGUUCCUCAGAGCUCCUGUGUGUGUGUGAGCCCAGUUUAACAACGCUCUUGGGUCUGGUUCUCUGGGUACAGAGGAAGUUGGGGUGACAUUUGCUCUAUGAUCUUCCACCUUCCCAUCUUACCACCACCUCUCCAACCCAGGCAGCUCCUGGUGUCCUCUCUGGAGUCUUCACUGAAACCCUCUGGACAUGGCCCUAUGGUCCUCAAAAGCUCAGGGCACUGCGGUCUUCCUUGGAAGCUUUCUUUAGAUACCAGAUUUAAAGCAGAGCCAAGGCCAUACCAACUAGAGUCCUCUUUUUGCAC